UUCAUUAAUCUCUGGCAUGUGCUAUAUUGAUCUGAAAAUGCCUAGAUCUUUUCUAUGUUGAAAAUGAUACAAAAAGAUUGUUAAAGGUUUAUGGUCCGAUUCCUUAAUUAAACUUGGAGUACUUGCAAUGCGCUGCAAGAAACAUCUCUAAUCUAGAGUAAUUCUCUGAUGGGGUCAGGACGAAAACCUGAUUCAGUUUUGUUGACAAGUUACAGGACCAAUGGUGUAGUAUGUAUGCUUGUUCUGCCCCUUUUCAUUCCUUUCUUCUCUCGCCUCCCUCCAUUUUGCAUGUCAAUCUUAUUCCUUUGUGAGAGCUUGUAUGUAAAGCAUGACACUUUCGAUGGAAUAUUUCACAAUUUUAUAUAAACUCAAAGCUCUUUUGCUGCUCUAGUUGCAGAUUCAAAGACUUUAAAGGAAGAGAAAAGAGAAGAACUUUAAAAAAUCUUAAAGCUUGACAAGUCGUUGGAUGGGGCUGUUGACGUCAUUGGUUCCAUGGAACUCUCAGCUAAGAUACUUGCAAAGUUAGUAAUCAUAUAGCUUUGGUUUUGUUUGUCUACAGAAACAAGAUCCAUUUAAAUGAGAUUUCAUAUAACUCUGCAACGGGCUCAUCAAACAGGUUAUAGACAUGGAGUUCUUCUAACUGAAGUCUUUGAUUACCCUUUCAGUGGAAACAGAACUAUCAUCUUAAGAGAGAAAUGUAUAUAUGUGAGACUAAGAAUUCUAAAUUGCAUUUGCAGGUUUAUCUGGAUACCGUGGGAGAUCCUGAGAAGUAAUGAAUAAAACUGUCUGAUAAGUUUGGUUCGAUCAAAUUUGCCGUUUCAAAGAAAGCUGAUAGUUUGUAUCCUAUUGUUAGUGGAGCAAGUAUUGUGGCCAAGGUGACCAGAGACAGAGCGUUGACAGAGUGUUGGUAGAGGAAACUGGAGAAAACAUAAACAGAAACUUGGGUUCUGGUCUUCUGGAUAUUCCGGAGAUCCUGAGACAAAGGCAUGUUAGAGCAACACAAACAUUGUGUUUGGAUUCCCAUCAUUGGUACGUUUCAGUUGGGGAACUUGCACUAACGCAUUUGAAGGGCAAUGUUGAAGUUUCAUUGUUAGUUUUUCUAGUUGCUCAUAAAAUUAUCAUUUUUGUGUAGUUUACACAAACAUUUUUGAUUUUAUAUAUCACUUAAUAGCUUAUAAAAUUA
Brassica rapa (field mustard) is the source of this 1183-nucleotide long non-coding RNA. RefSeq lists it as uncharacterized. NCBI's taxonomy places the organism in Eukaryota, Viridiplantae, Streptophyta, Magnoliopsida, Brassicales, Brassicaceae. The record is from RefSeq and is a predicted model, not a curated record.